Molecule: transfer RNA, 101 nt
Filed under: Coniochaeta ligniaria NRRL 30616
Lineage: Eukaryota; Fungi; Ascomycota; Sordariomycetes; Coniochaetales; Coniochaetaceae
Rfam family: tRNA
About the family: Transfer RNA (tRNA) molecules are approximately 80 nucleotides in length. Their secondary structure includes four short double-helical elements and three loops (D, anti-codon, and T loops).
Source: Rfam by way of RNAcentral
UCCUCCUUAGCUCAGUUGGCUAGAGCGUCUGACUGUUACCACCGUCCCUUGGGACGAGCAGCAACAUCAGGAGGUCCACAGUUCAAACCUGUGAGGGGGAG